AGAGUUUGAUCCUGGCUCAGGAUGAACGCUAGCUACAGGCUUAACACAUGCAAGUCGAGGGGAAACGACAUCGAAAGCUUGCUUUUGAUGGGCGUCGACCGGCGCACGGGUGAGUAACGCGUAUCCAACCUGCCCAUCACUUGGGGAUAACCUUGCGAAAGUAAGACUAAUACCCAAUGACGUCUCUAGAAGACAUCUGAAAGAGAUUAAAGAUUUAUCGGUGAUGGAUGGGGAUGCGUCUGAUUAGCUUGUUGGCGGGGUAACGGCCCACCAAGGCGACGAUCAGUAGGGGUUCUGGAGAGGAAGGUCCCCCANAUUGGAACUGAGACACGGUCCAACUCCUACGAGAGGCA
RNAcentral lists this ribosomal RNA (353 nucleotides) under uncultured bacterium. RNAcentral's name for it is "bacterial SSU rRNA". It matches the Rfam family "Bacterial small subunit ribosomal RNA", at positions 8 to 350 of the family's 1533-position model. The record is from RNAcentral.